This 80-nucleotide ribosomal RNA is filed under the name uncultured bacterium. RNAcentral describes it as "partial 16S ribosomal RNA". The record is from RNAcentral.
CNUGUGGACCGAUAACACCUGAAGUCGCUGAGCUAACCGCAAGGAGGCAGGCGCCGAGGGUGGGAUUGGUGACUGGAGCG